CGAAGGUAUUGAAAUAAGAUUUUAAAUGAGUGCUAAGAGAAUGAUUAAACAAUUAAAAGCUUUCUUUAAUUGAAUAAUUGAAUUUAAUUUUUUAGUGCAAAAGCAAAAAUAAAAAUUAGGGACAAGAAGACCCUAUGAAUUUUUUAUUAAAUUUUAUAAAACUUUAUAUAAAAUUUAAUUUAAUUGGGGUGAUGGAAAAAGAAUAAAUAUCUUUUUUUUAAAGAAAAUUGGUUCCGUUUUUAGCGAUUAAAUGAAAAAAAUACUCUAGGGAUAACAGCGUAAUAAUUUUGGAUAGUUCAUAUAGAUAAAAUAGUUUGCGACCUCGAUGUUGGAUUAGGAUUCUUUUUUGGUGAAGAAGUUAAAAAAAGAAGUUUGUUCAACUU
Molecule: ribosomal RNA, 383 nt
Filed under: Ixodes ricinus (castor bean tick)
Lineage: Eukaryota; Metazoa; Arthropoda; Arachnida; Ixodida; Ixodidae
Description: partial 16S ribosomal RNA
Source: RNAcentral